Osmia lignaria (orchard mason bee) is the source of this 3375-nucleotide non-coding RNA. Lineage: Eukaryota; Metazoa; Arthropoda; Insecta; Hymenoptera; Megachilidae. The record is from RefSeq and is a predicted model, not a curated record.
UAGAUUGGGGGAACGUGCCGGCCAAUCUAAAUAACGGUAAUUGAUGCAUUAUCUUGCAUGAAAAUUAAAUUCUCGUUAUGGUAUUCUGUCCAAAGGGGUAUUAAAUAAUUUUGUAACAUAUCUGUGUAAUUACUGCUAUUCAUUUUGUGAGAAGUAAAAGCUAUUGAGCUUUACAUGAUGCCAAUACGAAUUAAAGCCAUCAGGCCCAUCUAGAUUGAAUUUCUUUUCAUCACUAAAUACAACCUAAAAGAAUAAAUUGUCUUUAUAAAAUAUUCCAUUUGUAGAAAAAAAAAGAAAUAAACGAAACACUUUUACUAACAUUUUCCCAAUUCAUGCUCAUGUUUGCUUUGGCGAAUGAAAGUUUGGCUGAUUUAUCCGCAUUCUUUAAUCUUGGCGCCAACAUCAUUUUCGACCGUACAAUGUGUGGAGAUGAUACAAUGGUUCUAUAAAUAGUAGUUUUUGAAACAUUCAAAUUAAUUUCAUCUCGAAUUUGAACUAAAGACUUUGCGGAAUUAGAAGUUUUCCGAAAAAUUGUACGUUUAUCUCGAGGAGAUAGUUUUGAAGGGCGACCCGGACGCUUCUUUUCUCCACGAUUACAUCUUUUAGUUACAUAAUCUGCAACUGCACUUUUUGAUCGUGAUAUUUUUUUUGCAAUAUAGCCGUAACCUCUGCCUUCAAUGCGAAAAGCAUCGAUCUUGGCCUUUUCUGUUUCUGACAACUCUUUUCCACGAGGCAUUUCACUUUUUAACCUUUGUAAAUGAAUUUUGGGCGAACUUGUAGAAAAGCUACUCCCCCUCCGAUUUCGUUCAUUUUGAAAUAUGUUGUAAAAGUCGAUAUUUUAAGCAACUUUUUUCCUCUAAGCUAUAUGUCGGACUCAAUUAGUUUACGAGAUAUUCGCGAAAGAAUAUUGUUACUACUACAGCGAAUUCUGCCUAUACGUAUGCCGUCGCCAUGUGUGGGCCGGCUCUCUUGCCUACCGUUGCUAUAGGCAACAACGUGUGGUCCGGUUGCUAUUCAUACAACGGGUGAGUUUAGAAAUCAAAUUAUAACAUUUGCUCGCGUGGAAUAUUGAUGUGGUCUCACCUAACCUAACCUAGACGUAUAAGUAACUGAAAAAUAAAAUACCACCAACAUUAGUUUUAACCAAUGUGCACCACGAGGAGGUUGUUGGAUGGAUUUUGCACAUCAAGUGUAUGUGUACAUGUAGUUGUGUAUACCGGGUGAUUCACGAGAAACAGAACACCUAAUUAUCUCCGUUUGGUUUAAAGAUAGAAGAAAAUGUAGGAGAAAAAAGUUGUACUGUUUAAGGAGACAAAUAUGGGGAUAUAAACAGAAUUUCCGAUUGUUAUUGUUUUCAAGGUCUUUUGAAGGUCAUCGAUUAGAUUGCAUCAUAUAUUUUUAACAUCAUAGGGUUGUAGCUAUGUCAAGACGAGUACAACGAUAUGGUACACUACGACCUUCAAAUGACCCUGAACUCAAGAAUAGGUUCUAUUUCGCCUGAUCAACGAUUCCAAGUCACUGGAUAGGACAUAAUGGACACAUACUAUGGCCAGCUCGUUCACCCGAUUUAAUUCGCCUUGAUUUUUUUUAAUGGGGAACAUUGAAAGAUGAUGUGUAUCGUGAUCAGUCAAGUACACCAGAGAACAUGCAAGAAAGAAUAAUUAGAUCUUGUAGAUCAAUUUCAACAGAAACGAUUGAAGGGGCAAUUAAUUGCCUUGCAGGACGUUUAAAUGCUUGCAUCAUUGCUCAAGGUCAUCAUUUUGAACAUUUAAUUUAAUUUAAAUAAAUUAAUUGCAAAGUUUGAAGUUAUCAUUGCUUUAUCAUAAAUUUCUUAUUUCAAGGUCAUUUGAAGGUCAUAGUGUACCACAUCGUUGUACUCGUCUUGACAUCAGCUACAACUCUAUGAUGUUAAAAAUAUAUGGUGCAGUCUAAAAAUUAUCGAUAACCUUCAAAAGACCUUAAAAACGAUAACAAUCGGAAAUUUUUUUUAUUUCCCCAUAUUUGCCUCCUUAAACAGUACAACUUUUUUCUCUAACAUUUUCUUCUAUUUUUAAACCGAACGGAGAUAAUUAGGUGUUCUGUUUCUCGUGAAUCACACGUAUGUGUGGGUAUGUGUGCAUGGAUGAAAUAUAAUGAUUUCUGUUAUUUGCAUGUCCAGAUUAGGUUAGGUUAGGUCACAUUAAUAUUCCGGCCACCUUUAGGCGGCCGGCCACACAAGUCCAAUGUCAAAAUUAUUGAUAUUAGUUAAAUGUAAUUUUAAGCUCACCAUGUGGUGAGUUCACUGGCACCCGGGUAGCCAGGCCAUUGGUCGUCCACACAUUUAGUAUUUUUAUAUCGUUGUACCCACUUGUUAACGAACUCCCGUGAUUUAUGCAGGUAUUUAGCUGUACUUCGUACACUCAUUUUUGGUCCUUUCGGAUGCAAACAGAGGAAGACCGCUUCAAACCGUUUUGCAUACGCUGCAUUCAUAUUAAAAACGUCUCUGUUUCUCGGUCGCCACUUUACUACGCAUCAACAUUCGGAGAUAUCGCGUCCACGCUCUUGUGUUACAGACUGUACGUAUUGAAAUUUAGACAGAUCUGCGGUAAUAAAAAUAUUUAGUGCUUUCUCUAUCGAAAACAUUCACUGGUUGAAUAAACAUUUUCUGUCUUUUGUAAAUAUACUUUGAAUAUGUUUAUUGAAUUUAUCAUUUUGCAGAUUUUGAAGCAGACGCGAUUUAUAAUGCAUGCCAUGCUUACGAAAGCUCAUUUUUGUUGCAUUUAAAGCUCUUGUAACGUAUAAUUAUCAACUAGAGAUUUGGCUCUUCGUAUUUUUUCUCUACUGUUGCACUCAGAAAUAUGUUUGUUGCCUCUAUAUACUUUUACGGUUGAAGACCUAUUUCUUUUAGUAUUUAAUGUGCUGGUAGAUGGCAUAACUGCUAAUAUUACAGACGGAUAAGUAAAAUGUCGCUGCAACCAGUCCUCGUUACGUUUCAAAAAUUUCGAUUCAAUGUACCGAGAUUGUACCCAUCUCUGUUUUAGUUUAAAAACAAACCUUUUUAAACUCGAUUUUAGUAAAUCAGAUAUAUCGGGCGAAAUAUCAAUUUUUUUACAUAUUAAAUCAUGCAAAAAUAAAUAGUCACUCAUGUCUUUCGAUGCAUUUUUAAGAGCGAAGAAUAAAUCUUUAUUUUUGCGAAGAGUUUCCAUUAUUGCUGAAUAAUAAAAAAAGAAAGUUGAAAUGCAAAAAUUUUCAAACGGGACCACUGUGUGCCGUGGAAGUAUACGUGCAGGCGAAAUUCAAUGCAAUAGUACUAAUAGUUUUUCGCGAAUAUCUCGCAAACUAAUUAAUUUCGACAUAUAGCUUAGAGGAAAAAAGUUGCUUAAAAUGUCGACUUUU